UGAAGGCUGAAAUUCGCCUUCAUGAAGUCGGAAUUGCUAGUAAUGGCAGGUCAGCAUACUGCCGUGAAUACGUUCCCGGGCCUUGUACACACCGCCCGUCACACCAUGAGAGUUGGAGAUACCCGAAGCCUAUGAGCUUAACUUUUAGAGGCAGUAGUCGAAGGUAGAAUCAAUGAUUGGGGUGAAGUCGUAACAAGGUACC
This 202-nucleotide ribosomal RNA is filed under the name uncultured bacterium. RNAcentral describes it as "partial 16S ribosomal RNA". It matches the Rfam family "Bacterial small subunit ribosomal RNA", at positions 1299 to 1500 of the family's 1533-position model. The record is from RNAcentral.